This is a small RNA of Rhizobium sp. PDO1-076, 123 nucleotides long. It matches the Rfam family "Rhizobiales sRNA Atu_C8". Lineage: Bacteria; Pseudomonadati; Pseudomonadota; Alphaproteobacteria; Hyphomicrobiales; Rhizobiaceae. The record is from Rfam.
GAAAAACUCGAACGUACUUAUCGUGGUGGGACAGCGCAUGGGCAGGAUGGUGUAACCAUCCGGCGUUAGCCACCCAUGCGCUAGAUGACAGGCUCCUCAAGGGGCCUUUUUUUAUGCCCAAAA